AGGCAGCAGGCGCGCAAAUUACCCACUCGCGACUCGCGGAGGUAGUGACGAAAAAUAACGGCGCGGGACUCUAUCGAGCGCCCGCGAUCGGAAUGAGAGCACAUCAAAACGGUGAGCCGCACGCGAGGCGGCGAUCGAGAAUCGAUCAGAGGGCAAGUCUGGUGCCAGCAGCCGCGGUAAUUCCAGCUCUGAAAGUAUACUAUUAAGUUGUUGCGGUUAAAAAGCUCGUAGUUGGAACACGGGCUCGGCCGCGCGCCGGCCGCCGGGUCGCGAGGCCCGGCGCGCGUCGGGCGCGCGGUCGGCCCUACACGGGCCGGGCGGCCGCUGCCCUUCGCCGGGUGGCGGCGCGCUACGGACCACGAGCUACUUUGAAAAAAUUGGAGCGAUAAAAGCGGGCCGAAAUGCACGGCCGGGAACAUGACAGCAUAGUACAGUUGAAAGGGCCGCCGCUCUCAGCCGGCCGGCGCCUGGAGCGAUCACCGAUGGUGGCAACGAUCGAGAGGGACGAACGGGGGCAUUCGUACCGCGCCGUUAGAGGUGAAAUUCUUGGAUCGGCGCGAGACGAACCGAGGCGAAGGCGUCUGCCAAGGACGUUUUCCUUAAUCAAGAGCGAGAGUCGGAGGUUCGAAGACGAUCAGAUACCGUCGUAGUUCCGACUAUAAACGAUGCCGACCGCGGGCCGGCGGAUGCGCGAACACUCGGGAGCGCCGCCGGACCGUCGCGGGGAAACCGGAGCUGACGGGUUCCGGGGGAAGUAUGGUUGCAAAGCUGAAACUUAAAGGAAUUGACGGAAGGGCACCACCAGGAGUGGAGCCUGCGGCUUAAUUCGACUCAACGCGGGGAAACUCACCCGGCCCUGACGCGGCAAGGAUUGACAGAUUGAGAGCUCUUUCUCGAUUUCGCGGGCGGUGGUGCAUGGCCGUUCUUAGUUGGUGGAUCGAUUUGUCUGGUUAAUUCCGAUAACGAACGAGACUCGAGUUUGCUAAAUAGACGGCGCGCCGCUCAAGGCCCACGCGGCCGACGGCGGCGCGCUACCCAAAGCUUCUUCUUAGAGGGACCGGCGGCGGGCUUUAAGUCAGCCGCACGAGAUCGAGCGAUAACAGGUCUGUGAUGCCCUUAGAUGCUC
This 1126-nucleotide ribosomal RNA is filed under the name Eudistoma sp. FL_004. RNAcentral describes it as "bacterial SSU rRNA". It matches the Rfam family "Eukaryotic small subunit ribosomal RNA", at positions 423 to 1482 of the family's 1831-position model. Lineage: Eukaryota; Metazoa; Chordata; Ascidiacea; Aplousobranchia; Polycitoridae. The record is from RNAcentral.